RNAcentral lists this ribosomal RNA (253 nucleotides) under uncultured bacterium. RNAcentral's name for it is "partial 16S ribosomal RNA". It matches the Rfam family "Bacterial small subunit ribosomal RNA", at positions 524 to 776 of the family's 1533-position model. The record is from RNAcentral.
UACGUAGGGGGCAAGCGUUGUCCGGAAUUAUUGGGCGUAAAGAGCUCGUAGGCGGUUUGUUGCGUCGGCCGUGAAAACCUGCAGCUUAACUGUGGGCCUGCGGCCGAUACGGGCAGACUUGAGUUCGGUAGGGGAGACUGGAAUUCCUGGUGUAGCGGUGAAAUGCGCAGAUAUCAGGAGGAACACCGGUGGCGAAGGCGGGUCUCUGGGCCGAUACUGACGCUGAGGAGCGAAAGCGUGGGGAGCGAACAGG